Molecule: ribosomal RNA, 507 nt
Filed under: uncultured Glomeraceae
Lineage: Eukaryota; Fungi; Glomeromycota; Glomeromycetes; Glomerales; Glomeraceae
Description: SSU rRNA
Rfam family: Eukaryotic small subunit ribosomal RNA
Source: RNAcentral
AGCAGCCGCGGUAAUUCCAGCUCCAAUAGCGUAUAUUAAAGUUGUUGCAGUUAAAAAGCUCGUAGUUGAAUUUCGGGAUCAGUUGGUCGGUCGUGCUUCGGUACGUACUGGUCAAAUUGAUUCCUACCUUCUGACGAACCACGAUGUCAUUAAUUUGGUGUCGCGGGAAAUCAGGACUGUUACUUUGAAAAAUUAGAGUGUUUAAAGCAGGCUCGCGCUUGAAUACAUUAGCAUGGAAUAAUGAAAUAGGACGUUUGAUUCUAUUUUGUUGGUUUCUAGGAUCGACGUAAUGAUUAAUAGGGAUAGUUGGGGGCAUUAGUAUUCAAUUGUCAGAGGUGAAAUUCUUGGAUUUAUUGAAGACUAACUACUGCGAAAGCAUUUGCCAAGGAUGUUUUCAUUAAUCAAGAACGAAAGUUAGGGGAUCGAAGACGAUCAGAUACCGUCGUAGUCUUAACCAUAAACUAUGCCGACUAGGGAUCGGAUGGUGUUAAUUUUUUAAUGUACUCA